AACGAACGCUGGCGGCAUGCCUAACACAUGCAAGUCGAACGAGACCUUCGGGUCUAGUGGCGCACGGGUGCGUAACGCGUGGGAACCUGCCCUUAGGUUCGGAAUAACUCUCCGAAAGGGGUGCUAAUACCGGAUAAUGUCUUCGGCCCAAAGAUUUAUCGCCUUUGGAUGGGCCGGCGUUGGAUUAGCUAGUUGGUAGGGUAAAAGCCUACCAAGGCGACGAUCCAUAGCUGGUCUGAGAGGAUGAUCAGCCACACUGGGACUGAGACACGGCCCAGACUCCUACGGGAGGCAGCAGUGGGGAAUAUUGGACAAUGGGCGAAAGCCUGAUCCAGCAAUGCCGCGUGAGUGAUGAAGGCCUUAGGGUUGUAAAGCUCUUUUACCCGGGAUGAUAAUGACAGUACCGGGAGAAUAAGCUCCGGCUAACUCCGUG
RNAcentral lists this ribosomal RNA (433 nucleotides) under uncultured bacterium. RNAcentral describes it as "partial 16S ribosomal RNA". It matches the Rfam family "Bacterial small subunit ribosomal RNA", at positions 29 to 507 of the family's 1533-position model. The record is from RNAcentral.